Molecule: ribosomal RNA, 119 nt
Filed under: Pteropus alecto (black flying fox)
Lineage: Eukaryota; Metazoa; Chordata; Mammalia; Chiroptera; Pteropodidae
Source: RNAcentral
GUCUACAGCCAUGCUACCCUGAAAGUGCCCAAUAUCAUCUGAUCUUGGAAGCUAAGCAGGGUCAGGCCUGGUUAGUACUUGGACGGAAGACCAUCUAGGAAAACCCAGCGCUGUAGGCG